AAGUCGUAACAAGGUAACCGUAGGUGAACCUGCGGUUGGAUCAUUAAUAAAUUCUAGAGCAGGUGUGAUUGAGCAAUCAUGAACCCUGUUUCUUAACAAUUUGUGAAUCGUUUAUUGUCUCUUGCGAUUGAGAAUCAAGGUGCGUUUUGCGCAUCUCUCGGUCGCAUGUGAAUCUUAACAUUGUAAUAUAACCAUCUGUCUUGAAACUUAAACCUAAAAAAUUUAAAAACAACUUUUGACAACGGAUCUCUAGGCUCUC
RNAcentral lists this unclassified non-coding RNA (259 nucleotides) under fungal sp. RNAcentral's name for it is "partial internal transcribed spacer region". The stretch from base 1 to 46 matches the Rfam family "Eukaryotic small subunit ribosomal RNA", at positions 1786 to 1831 of the family's 1831-position model. The record is from RNAcentral. Lineage: Eukaryota; Fungi.